AACUGAAGGCUGGAGCUGUCG
Molecule: microRNA, 21 nt
Filed under: Callithrix jacchus (white-tufted-ear marmoset)
Lineage: Eukaryota; Metazoa; Chordata; Mammalia; Primates; Cebidae
Description: cja-miR-9916
Source: miRBase by way of RNAcentral